Molecule: ribosomal RNA, 1085 nt
Filed under: Hesperomyces virescens
Lineage: Eukaryota; Fungi; Ascomycota; Laboulbeniomycetes; Laboulbeniales; Laboulbeniaceae
Description: SSU rRNA
Rfam family: Eukaryotic small subunit ribosomal RNA
Source: RNAcentral
AGUCAUAUGCUUGUCUCAAAGAUUAAGCCAUGCAUGUCUAAGUAUAAGCAUUUAUACUGUGAAACUGCGAAUGGCUCAUUAAAUCAGUUAUUGUUUAUUUGAUGGUACCUUUACUACUUGGAUAACCGUGGUAAUUCUAGAGCUAAUACAUGCUAAAAACCCCGACUCACGAAGGGGUGUAUUUAUUAGAUUCAAACCAGUGUCCCUCGGGACUUUUUGGUGACUCAUAAUAACUUAACGCAGCGCAUGGCCUUCGUGCCGGCGCGGGAUCAUUCAAAUACCUGCCCUAUCAAGUUUCGAUGUGAGGGUAGUGUCCUCACAUGCUUUUGACGGGUAACGGGGAAUUAGGGUUCGACUCCGGAGAGGGAGCCUGAGAAACGGCUACCACAUCCAAGGAAGGCAGCAGGCGCGCAAAUUACCCAAUCCCGAUACGGGGAGGUAGUGACAAGAAAUACCGAUUCAGGAUCUUAUUGGAUCUUGAGAUUGGAAUGAGUACAAUUCAAACCCAUUAACGAGGAACAACUAGAGGGCAAGUCUGGUGCCAGCAGCCGCGGUAAUUCCAGCUCUACUAGCGUAUAUUAAAAUUGUUGCAGUUAAAACGCUCGUAGUUGAACUUUGGGCUUGGCUGGCUGGUCCGCCUCACCGCGAGCACUGGUCCGGCUGGGCCUUUCCUCUUGGGGAUCCACAUGCCCUUCACUUGGGUGUGUUGGGGAACCAGGACUUUUACUUUGAAAAAAUUAGGGUGUUCAAAGCAGGCAUUUGCUCGAAUACAUUAGCAUGGGAUAAUAGAAUAGGACGUGUGGUCUUAUUUUGUUGGUUUCUAGGACCGCCGUAAUGAUUGAUAGGGAUAGUUGGGGGCAUCGGUAUUCAAUUGUCAGAGGUGAAAUUCUUGGAUUUAUUGAAGACCAACUACUGCGAAAGCAUUUGCCAAAGAUGUUUUCAUUAAUCAGGGAACGAAAGUUAGGGGAUCGAAGAUGAUCAGAUACCGUCGUAGUCUUAACCGUAAACUAUGCCGACUANGGAUCNGGUGGUGUUCCAUUUAUGACCCACUCGGCACUUUACCAGAAAUCAAAGUUUUGGGUUCU